Long non-coding RNA from Triticum dicoccoides, 304 nucleotides. RefSeq lists it as uncharacterized. The record is from RefSeq and is a predicted model, not a curated record. Lineage: Eukaryota; Viridiplantae; Streptophyta; Magnoliopsida; Poales; Poaceae. The transcript has 3 exons.
CCCAAAUCAGGCGAGAUCCAGAGGUGUAACCACCGGAGGAGGCAAAGGAACCGGCGCCGCAACCGAAGCCGAAGACGGGCGGCGAACAUUGGGAAGUGGAUCAUCUGCCACCAUAACCGAAGUCAGUCGGAGGAAGCCGAAGGCGUUGGCGCGUGCGGAGAUUCGUUGCUCGUCGCCAGCGCAGACCAAAAAUGGUUGUACAAGGAGAGGUCUACAAACCGUUCUUCUCGGUAGAAUUCAAAACAGCCCGCCGGUUGGCAGUCUUGUCAUGCUGAUAUCGAUGGGGAGGCAUAGGAUGAUGAGG